CUUUAAGAAAUCGUUGGAUCCAUAAUGUAUAAGAAUGCAUACCAACUCAAAUGUCAAAGGGAGUGUGAAACUCAACGACAGGGAGAGGGAGAGAGAUGGGGUUUUGCUUUGAUUGCUUCGGUGGAGAGUCUGAGGAGAGUAGGCGGAGAAGAGAGGAAGAAGAUCGCUUGGCCUCCGAGGAAGCUCGAGCUAAAGCAGCCGAAGCCGCUCAGAGAAGGCAAGAGCAAUUUGAGAAAUCUGCUGCAGGAAAAGCUGCACGUGCACAGCUAUUAGCACAAGAAAAUGCAAAAAAAUCUGCUACCUCCAACAGGGGUGAACCGGUUCUUAAGUGGCAGAUGGGAUGAAGUUUAAGCCUUUGGCUGUUCAAUUAUAACAGUUUUGUAAGUCCUUCAAACUUUUAACUUGUUCUUUUUCAAAGCAGUUGAAUGUAUAAUGUUGGUAUCGCUAUUCACUCUUGUUCUAAGGAGCACCAAGUUGAAGAUGUCUAGAGCAACAAUUCAACAUCAAGGCAAAAUAACCAUACCUAUCUUCUAUAAAUCUCCACUGCCUAUUUGUCUCUCCUUAUAAAGUUACAAGUAUUUUAAGGCACUAUCCACCCAUGUCACGUUCCAAUAUCCAAGGGCUUGCUCUGUAAUCAAUUUGCCUUCUGAGGACAGUGGAAUAAAGUUAAAGUUGCAUAUUCACACUUUCACAAAAUUUGUUUCAAGUGAUCUUUGAGUUGGACUGUAA
Molecule: RNA transcript, 729 nt
Organism: Nelumbo nucifera (sacred lotus)
Lineage: Eukaryota; Viridiplantae; Streptophyta; Magnoliopsida; Proteales; Nelumbonaceae
Source: RefSeq, a predicted model, not a curated record